This is a non-coding RNA of Cinara cedri, 706 nucleotides long. NCBI's taxonomy places the organism in Eukaryota, Metazoa, Arthropoda, Insecta, Hemiptera, Aphididae. The record is from the annotation of a GenBank genome assembly.
AAGCUGUAUAUUCUACUGCAUAUCCGCAUAUCCUAUAUAUCCUGUAUUGUAUAUGUAAGUAAUGUGCAAUACAAAUUUAACUAGCAAUGUUGAAAUUGAAUUAUAUUUGGUAACUGGCUGUCGAAAAAGUGCGACGGGAUCGGGUGUGCGGGGAAUUUGUCGGCAAAAGUCAAAAUCCUACAUCGGCCCGUGUGGUUAAAAUAUUUAUUCGAUCGGUACAUUGAAUUCGCUGCGAUUACCUAUAUUAUAUACAUUUAAAAUCGCCGGGAGAAAAUAUUCGUUCUUCGAAACCUGUCGAUCGGGCCCCGGCAAUAGAUUAUCGACGCUAAAAACACAUAAAGGUGUCUGCUGCGGUACACCGGCCGCAACGUAACACUGCAAAAAGCCGUUGCACUCGUCGAAAACCUGUUUUUUUUUUUUUUUUAUCCACACACAAUAUCUUCAUAGUUCGCUAAAAUUCCACUCAAAUCGAUUUCGUUUAUGUAUACGCUCACGUAUAUUUUAGACGAUCGCCCGCCAUCCGGAUCCGCGUCGCCAUUUUCUAAAGGCGCUGUUGUAACGGUUUUGCGUAUCGUACUUACUUAAUAAUGUUUGUGCAAACUUUGUUGGUACACUUUACGAGUUGGCAUCGAAAUCAUUGUUAUCCAGAAUGCUGCAGUCGGCUAAACGUUGGAUUUCGAACAUUGACUGUAUUGUAUGGUAUUAU